UGCCUUAAUUAUGCAAAUGAGUAUUGUGUGUGAUUUCUCUUCCCAUCUCAAUCAAUCUUCUGUAAUUCCCCUCCCCCAAUUCUGAGUUGUACUUGUUUAAAACUUACAAUCAAAAUCCAACCAUUAGCCUAUUAUUAUUGUUCAUUGCACAAUUUCUGUUUGCUUGAUCUUGUCUUGUCUUAAUCAUCAACGUUACAGAGUGAGGCAGAGAAUCGGUAGCUGGAGGCUGAGGUCCACGCCAUUUCGUGAAGAACAGAUCCAUUGGUUCUUCCCCGGGGUCUGGUAAACAGAUAUGUAUCAGAUUGUUCAAAUUCAUCAUGUUUAUUGUUUUGUCUAUGCGUUUGAUAACGACUCCAUUGAUUUAUUAUUUGUAACCAUUUGAUUCGGUGAUUGUUCUGUCUCUGAUUUGAGAUCCGACAUCACUGCACUUGGAUUUCUGUUUUCUAGAUCGGAUUGGGUGUGGUAGAAAUACGUUGGAUGGAUAUCCAGACGAUUUGUUUUACACACACAAUGGUGUUUUGUCGUAUUCUAAGCUAGGGAUCCGAUGUGUCAUCUGGAAUAGUUGUGGAAGCAUUAGACAACAACUCGAAUUGUUCUUCUUAAGGGAGGGAGGGAGGAUAGGCUGAAAGAUGAGGGUGAAGGACCGAAACCCGUUUCUGAAGUCUAUUGUGAUUCUGUUUCUUUACAACUUACCGUGUUUGUUUGUGCGUGCUCGAUGUCUUGUCCAGAUCCAUGUGCCAAAGCCCAAUUAAGGUUACAUAAUGGGUGCCUCUAGCUAUCUGUGUGAAGAUGGUUAAGAAGCGGUUUAUGUGAGUCUAAACUGCUCUAUGUAAUAAAAUCAUCUUCCAUCAACAUAUUGACAAUCUUGCUGCAGAACUCCCCUUCUUUUGAAUAUCACUUUAGUUAAGAAUAUAUACUUCUUUUGUUUUUUUUUAUAUGUAAAUAAAUAGGUAAUGUUGGCGUCUUUUAGGAAAUUCUACAACAAGUCAACAACCAUUCUAUAUCAUUAAGAGGCAGCAACAGGUUGGUUGAGGUAGAUGCAAUGUUUGCAAAACGACCAUCUGACCCAUUCAAAUUUUAGAGCUUUUGUGCUCAUUUUUUGUGAAGUUGAAUAUGAUUGAUUCCUUGUACGUAUUUGUAUCAUAGUAUACAUGAAAUUAUUAACUGUGAACACUAGCUAGCAAUAAAUGAUUCAUUUCACAAA
Long non-coding RNA from Helianthus annuus (common sunflower), 1204 nucleotides. RefSeq lists it as uncharacterized. The record is from RefSeq and is a predicted model, not a curated record. NCBI's taxonomy places the organism in Eukaryota, Viridiplantae, Streptophyta, Magnoliopsida, Asterales, Asteraceae. The transcript has 2 exons.